Molecule: long non-coding RNA, 2619 nt
Organism: Hemiscyllium ocellatum (epaulette shark)
Lineage: Eukaryota; Metazoa; Chordata; Chondrichthyes; Orectolobiformes; Hemiscylliidae
Exons: 6
Source: RefSeq, a predicted model, not a curated record
GCGUGACGGCCGUUGGUUAGUCUUCCCUGGGAUUUCGGCUGGACUGGACGCAGAGAGCUUGUUUAAAACAAAAAUCCGUCCCGUGACGGUAUUAAAAUCAAAAACACUGUUAAUGUUCGGAUAUAGACUGUGGGGGAGGGAACACCAACCAGCUUAUGUUCCCCGGGCAGGGACGGACGGACUGAUGGAGGCAGGGAGGGCAGAAAUGCCCCACAGACACACAAUCAGAACUUAGUGGAAAAGCCCAGCGGAUCUGGCGGAGUUCACGUUUUAGGUGGAGAGAUUCUUCCUCAGAAGUGGAGGUGGUUACUGCAGAUGCUGAGGGUUAGAGUGGUGCCGAGGAGCGUGGGACAUUCUGAUGAAGGCCUUUUGUCCGAAAUGUUUAUUUUCAUGCCAGGCGGACGCUGUCUGAGCUGCUGUUGCGUUUCCAGCACCAACUCUGAUCCUUCCUCAAAGGUACCUUUGGCCCAACCCCUCUGUGCUGAUCGGACUCCGGAUUGGCCGGAACCACGGCGAUUGACAGGUUACUUGACCAUUCGGAUCCCGAGAUAGUGCUAACCCCCGCCCUGAGGGAUCCUGCGCAGGCUCGAGGCGCUGCUGUUGAUCUGAGUCUGCGCGGAGGCGGGGCGUCUGGCUUCCAGGAAGUGCACACGCGUGGUGUUUAAACCCGGAACUGGGAAUGUCUUCUGCGUGGUUUCGGCUGAGCGGACUGAGUAUUAUCAUCCUUCCAAUGAGGGUGAAGGUAUUCAGCAGAAACACAAGGAAAUACUCCAGGUACAAACUGAAAAGCUGUGUGAUCACUAUCCGAAGAAACAAGUUUCCAGCUGGUUGAUCGAUAUGCUGAGUUAAUGCUAAUCGCUAAUGUACGAAAUUGGACAUUUAGAGAAGAUGAACAUCUGUCUCCAGAGUAAUGACCCAGAAGAUUCAGAAAUAAAAUUACAUCUGUGGUUGAGAGGAAACCGAACUGCAGAAUACAGGGACUGGACAUUAAUGGUGUCCGUGACAGAUUCUGGGACCUAGGACCUCAUCUCUGCUCUCACGGCACACUGAUCAGUGAUGGACCUGGCCCAAAGUGAUGAUAAAUUGGGUCAUUUCUGUAGCUCUGGGGAUUCCAAACUGUAAAAUAUAGAUUCUGAGGGUAUGUGCUGCUGCCUUCUCAGAGCUUUGUGCUGAGAAACUUGCCCUUGCUUUCAGUACAAACCAGUCACUGAUGGAGUUGUCCAUCUCAUUAAACAUCUUCACCAACAAUUCUGUCCCCUCAUUUUUGCAUGGUGUACAAACUGCACAGUCUGCAAUGGAUCAAAUUGUGAGGAAAUGGAGUUCACUCCAAAUGGGAAGUCGCUCCGAUCCAGACCGAGAGGGACUGUGUGAAUCUUGGAAGUUAUAGCAUCACUACUGUCGUUAUUUGAAUAUUUUUCGCUGAUUCUGCACCCCACCCCACCCUUCCUUCAACCGGCUGUGUUCAAGGUUGAAAUUCUAUUGACGAUUUCCCAGUCUCCACUUGAGCUAAGGUCAUCUCUCAUUGUGAGGUCAGAGGGCCCAGUCAUAGAGUCAUUAGACUCAGGGACUCAGCACUCAGUGUGGCUUCUACAGGAUAUCUUUGCCUCAUUGUGACCUGCUGGGGACAUACAUUGGCAUCAAGGAGCCAGAGUUGGACUCUGUCUGGGCUGCAAUGGAACAGUGACAGUUACACUCAAUAUUCGUGUGUCUGUGGGGUAGAUUACUCCAGGUUCCUGCUCAGUACCUUACGCAGUAAGGAAGGUUUAGAUUACUUACAGUAGUGGAAACAGGCCCUUCGGCCCAACAAGUCCACACCGACCCUCCGAAAAGCAACCCACCCAAACCUAUUCCCCAACAUUUAACCCUUCACCUAAUACUACAGGCAAUUUAGCAUGGCCAAUUCACCUAACCUGCACAUUUUUGGACUGUGGGAGGAAAUCGGAGCACCCGGAGGAAACCCAUGCAGACACUGGGAGAACGUGCAAACUCCACACAGACAGUUCCCUGAGGUGGGAAUUGAACCCGGGUCUAUGGCGCUAUGAGGCAGUAGUGCAAACCACUGUGCCGCCAUGUGAAUCUGUGUCAGAGUGAAAGGGGACUGUGCCUCUCACUUGAGAUGGACUCCCCUUCCAAUAACAUCCACUCUCUGGAUUCACUCAGAGUGACAGCUUUGUUUUGGAUAUUCCUCGAAUUGGACUUCACAAUCAAGCAGCUCCAGAGAGAGAGAAAACUAAAGGAUAAGCUUGAGCAUGGAACAUUGAGCACAAAACCUCAGCUUCCUGGGUAACUGCAGGAGUAAAUUCUCAGAGUGACAGAACGUUCCUAUACUUUGUUAGGAUGAUCUCCUCACUCUGUUGCAUUAUGUUGAAGUAUUUGCAGUAUUGCUUUUUCUUUUGAAGAGAAUAUUCCAUCAGUGAUAGUAUAGUGUCUGGAAAUGGCAGAAUCCAAGCAUGAAUGAGAACCAGAUAUUAAAACAAAACAUUCUGAUCACGCAUUUUGUCAAAAGAUGUGUGGUCUUAAUACAGGAACCGGUUGUAAAAGACAACAUGCCAGUGACAAUCAGACAACCGUGCAGAAUAAAAACUAAGAACUGUGGAUGCUGUAAAUAAGAAACAAAAA